UGGGGAAUCUUGCACAAUGGGGGCAACCCUGAUGCAGCGACGCCGCGUGAGCGAUGAAGCCCUUCGGGGCGUAAAGCUCUUUCGACCGGAACGAUAAUGACGGUACCGGGAGAAGAAGCUGCGGCUAACUACGUGCCAGCAGCCGCGGUAAUACGUAGGCAGCAAGCGUUGUUCGGAGUUACUGGGCGUAAAGAGUGCGUAGGCGGUUUUCUAAGUUCGGUGUGAAAUCUCCCGGCUUAACUGGGAGGGUGCGCCGAAGACUGGGAAGCUGGAGUGUGGGAAAGGCAGGCGGAAUUUCUGGUGUAGCGGUGAAAUUCGUAGAUAUCAGGAGGAACACCGGCGGUGUAGACGGCUUGCUAGACCAUAACUGACGCUGAGGCACGAAAGCGUGGGUAGCAAACA
This 402-nucleotide ribosomal RNA is filed under the name uncultured bacterium. RNAcentral describes it as "bacterial SSU rRNA". It matches the Rfam family "Bacterial small subunit ribosomal RNA", at positions 355 to 774 of the family's 1533-position model. The record is from RNAcentral.